UUCCAUAGAAAGUACCAGUUUUAAAAGACUAUCUGCAUUUUUUUUUUCCCCACAGAGUUCAAGAAUGAGCCUGGAUAAACCUGGCAGCUUGAAGUCUGAGGAAAAAGAUUGGUUUCUGCAUGAGCUUCACUGACAUGGAGGCUUGUAAGGGUUUUCAGACUCUGGAACAGAGCUCUGCCAAUAACCUGCACAGUGCACUUGUUAAUUCAGUCAUGGAUUCCAAGCAGUAUUCAGCAUUAGGUGCAUACUGAAGAUG
RNAcentral lists this long non-coding RNA (256 nucleotides) under Anas platyrhynchos platyrhynchos (common mallard). Its description in RNAcentral is "lncRNA (ENSAPLG00000028322.1)". Lineage: Eukaryota; Metazoa; Chordata; Aves; Anseriformes; Anatidae. The record is from RNAcentral.